GCGUGAGUGAUGAAGGCCUUAGGGUUGUAAAGCUCUUUCGUGGGGGAAGAUAAUGACUGUACCCCAAGAAGAAGCCCCGGCUAACUCCGUGCCAGCAGCCGCGGUAAUACGGAGGGGGCUAGCGUUGUUCGGAAUUACUGGGCGUAAAGCGCACGUAGGCGGAUUGGAAAGUCAGGGGUGAAAUCCCGGGGCUCAACCCCGGAACUGCCUUUGAAACUCCCAGUCUUGAGGUCGCGAGAGGUGAGUGGAAUUCCGAGUGUAGAGGUGAAAUUCGU
This 275-nucleotide ribosomal RNA is filed under the name uncultured bacterium. Its description in RNAcentral is "partial 16S ribosomal RNA". It matches the Rfam family "Bacterial small subunit ribosomal RNA", at positions 399 to 691 of the family's 1533-position model. The record is from RNAcentral.